RNAcentral lists this transfer RNA (80 nucleotides) under Sclerotinia sclerotiorum. RNAcentral describes it as "tRNA-Lys". Lineage: Eukaryota; Fungi; Ascomycota; Leotiomycetes; Helotiales; Sclerotiniaceae. The record is from RNAcentral.
GAGACCUUAGUUUAAUGGUAAAAUACGAGACUUUUAAUCUUUGUUAUAUGGGUUCGAGAAGUUUGAAGCUUCAAAUUUUA